RNAcentral lists this ribosomal RNA (500 nucleotides) under uncultured bacterium. RNAcentral's name for it is "partial 16S ribosomal RNA". It matches the Rfam family "Bacterial small subunit ribosomal RNA", at positions 30 to 523 of the family's 1533-position model. The record is from RNAcentral.
AUUGAACGCUGGCGGAAUGCUUUACACAUGCAAGUCGAACGGCAGCACGGACUUCGGUCUGGUGGCGAGUGGCGAACGGGUGAGUAACAUAUCGGAACGUAUCCAAUAAUGGGGGAUAACGAGUCGAAAGAUUCGCUAAUACCGCAUACGCCCUACGGGGGAAAGCUGGGGACCUUCGGGCCUGGCGUUAAUGGAGCGGCCGAUAUCUGAUUAGCUAGUUGGUGAGGUAAAGGCUCACCAAGGCGACGAUCAGUAGCUGGUCUGAGAGGACGACCAGCCACACUGGAACUGAGACACGGUACAGACUCCUACGGGAGGCAGCAGUGGGGAAUUUUGGACAAUGGGCGCAAGCCUGAUCCAGCCAUUCCGCGUGGGUGAAGAAGGCCUUCGGGUUGUAAAGCUCUUUCGCAAGGGAAGAAAACUUAGCCACUAACAUUGGUUGAGGUUGACGGUACCUUGAUAAGAAGCACCGGCUAACUACGUGCCAGCCGCCGCGGUAA